RNAcentral lists this ribosomal RNA (441 nucleotides) under uncultured bacterium. RNAcentral describes it as "partial 16S ribosomal RNA". It matches the Rfam family "Bacterial small subunit ribosomal RNA", at positions 338 to 795 of the family's 1533-position model. The record is from RNAcentral.
CCUACGGGUGGCUGCAGUGAGGGAUUUUGCGCAAUGGACGAAAGUCUGACGCAGCGACGCCGCGUGAGUGAUGAAGGCCUUCGGGUUGUAAAGCUCUGUCGGGAGGGACGAGUAGGGACGGUACCUCCAGAGGAAGCCUCGGCUAACUACGUGCCAGCAGCCGCGGUAAGACGUAGGGGGCAAGCGUUGUCCGGAAUUAUUGGGCGUAAAGAGCUCGUAGGUGGGAUUAUAAGUCAGCAAGUAAAUAUCUCGGCUCAACUGAGAUCUCAUUGUUGAUACUGUAAGUCUUGAGGACAGGAGAGGAAAGUGGAAUUCCCGGUGUAGCGGUGAAAUGCGUAGAGAUCGGGAGGAACACCAGUGGCGAAGGCGGCUUUCUGGCCUGAUUCUGACACUGAGGAGCGAAAGCUAGGGGAGCGAACGGGAUUAGAUACCCCUGUAGUC